GCCCGGGUGGCGGAACUGGCAGACGCACUCGGCUUAAACCCGAGGGUCGAAAGACGUGCGGGUUCAAAUCCCGCCCCGGGCA
This 82-nucleotide transfer RNA is filed under the name Candidatus Nanopelagicales bacterium. Its description in RNAcentral is "tRNA-Leu". It matches the Rfam family "tRNA". From Rfam's summary of the family: Transfer RNA (tRNA) molecules are approximately 80 nucleotides in length. Their secondary structure includes four short double-helical elements and three loops (D, anti-codon, and T loops). Further hydrogen bonds mediate the characteristic L-shaped molecular structure. tRNAs have two regions of fundamental functional importance: the anti-codon, which is responsible for specific mRNA codon recognition, and the 3' end, to which the tRNAs corresponding amino acid is attached (by aminoacyl-tRNA synthetases). tRNAs cope with the degeneracy of the genetic code in two manners: having more than one tRNA (with a specific anti-codon) for a particular amino acid; and 'wobble' base-pairing, i.e. permitting non-standard base-pairing at the 3rd anti-codon position. Lineage: Bacteria; Bacillati; Actinomycetota; Actinomycetes; Candidatus Nanopelagicales. The record is from RNAcentral. RNAcentral also lists the same sequence under 1 other name.